Molecule: long non-coding RNA, 355 nt
Organism: Periophthalmus magnuspinnatus
Lineage: Eukaryota; Metazoa; Chordata; Actinopteri; Gobiiformes; Gobiidae
Exons: 3
Source: RefSeq, a predicted model, not a curated record
UCAGCUCCACUUUUUUGCUGAGGCUGAGGUUAGUUUUGAUUCAGCUGGACCAUGAAGGUGCAACUUAUUGGCCUGCUCAUGCUAACCGUUUUGGUGCUCCACAUCAUGGCGGAUGGGGUCAUGAUUGGAAAUGAUGAAGUAAUACCUGGAGAUGAGUUCCUGAAUAUUACAACAGGGAAAUCUGAGCCGCAACUGGGAGGUAAAGAUUCGGGUCCCCCACCACCAGGGGCCGAGAACUGAACUUCCAGCCAAUGAACAGCAAUGAGAAAUUUGUGAAAUAAAAUCUCUUUGUUUUCUCUCAAAGGAAACUAAUUAUUGAGUUUUUUUCAACAUAAGAAUCUGUGUUGCUGUUGUA